RNAcentral lists this ribosomal RNA (468 nucleotides) under uncultured bacterium. Its description in RNAcentral is "partial 16S ribosomal RNA". It matches the Rfam family "Bacterial small subunit ribosomal RNA", at positions 28 to 507 of the family's 1533-position model. The record is from RNAcentral.
GACGAACGCUGGCGGCAUGCUUAACACAUGCAAGUCGAACGGAAAGGCCCUGCUUUUGUGGGGUGCUCGAGUGGCGAACGGGUGAGUAACACGUGAGUAACCUGCCCUUGACUUUGGGAUAACUUCAGGAAACUGGGGCUAAUACCGGAUAGGAGCUCCUGCUGCAUGGUGGGGGUUGGAAAGUUUCGGCGGUUGGGGAUGGACUCGCGGCUUAUCAGCUUGUUGGUGGGGUAGUGGCUUACCAAGGCUUUGACGGGUAGCCGGCCUGAGAGGGUGACCGGCCACAUUGGGCCUGAGAUACGGCCCAGACUCCUACGGGAGGCAGCAGUGGGGAAUAUUGCACAAUGGGCGGAAGCCUGAUGCAGCAACGCCGCGUGCGGGAUGACGGCCUUCGGGUUGUAAACCGCUUUCGCCUGUGACGAAGCGUGAGUGACGGUAAUGGGUAAAGAAGCACCGGCUAACUACGUG